CAAAGUUAUAAAAGAAAUGGACGUUUAGGCUUCGGGUCCGCCGGGAGGGUCGAGGCGACGUCGUAAAAUCGUGGAAAUUUAUUUGAGGCAUCGUGGCAUAUAACCGAAGACCUAUAAUUUUCGGGGCUGCGAAGCGGAGCACGGUUGAGGCGCAGUUGCAGUAUCGGGCCGUGCCGGAUACGGGUGCCGCGGGCGGCCGAUUGCAAGUGUCGACAAGCAAUCGGAAUGCGAAAUGAGGUGGGUUGUGCUUACCGAAGCGACUAGGUCGCCCUUUAUGUCUAAGAAAUGAGAUUUCAUAUUGAUGCAUAU
Molecule: long non-coding RNA, 309 nt
Filed under: Ananas comosus (pineapple)
Lineage: Eukaryota; Viridiplantae; Streptophyta; Magnoliopsida; Poales; Bromeliaceae
Description: long non-coding RNA (ACOM_LNC044793)
Source: RNAcentral